This 76-nucleotide transfer RNA is filed under the name Candidatus Limihabitans stercoravium. RNAcentral describes it as "tRNA-Val". It matches the Rfam family "tRNA". From Rfam's summary of the family: Transfer RNA (tRNA) molecules are approximately 80 nucleotides in length. Their secondary structure includes four short double-helical elements and three loops (D, anti-codon, and T loops). Lineage: Bacteria; Bacillati; Bacillota; Clostridia; Eubacteriales. The record is from RNAcentral.
GGACAAUUAACUCAGCUGGGAGAGUGUCUCCUUGACGUGGAGGAAGUCACAGGUUCGAGUCCUGUAUUGUCCACCA